CGGAGGAGAUUAAAAGGCAAUGGACGGCUGAGAUGUUGGCAAUAAUCUUGACCUAUCUACUGACCCAUUCAAAAAUUCAAACACCAUUUUCCUCCCAUUUACUAUCCCAAAAAUUGAGAGGCGAAAAUUCUCAAAUUAGGGUGGCAAAAAAUGAAGCGGGAUUGCGACUGAUUCUCACGUUGCUUGUUUCAUCGACGAAUCUGACAUUGAACAUGAUUGCUCCUCCAGUCCAUCUUCUCCAGCUACGAAAUCGAGUAUGGUGUGAAUUUUUUGUUGGAAUUUUGUUGUUUUAUUUGAGCUAAAAUUUUAGCCUCAGCUCCGACGGUCUCUGCGCUUCCAACGUCAUCCCAUCUCCAAAUCAAAAGUGAAAAGAUAAAAUAAAAAUACCCACCGGAGCUAUACAUGCAACUUCCUAUAUGUAUAUUGGUUUUGAGAAAGAGAAAGAAGAGAUCUAAGCUCGACAGCUUCGACUCUCUCUCCCUCCCAAUCAGCUCAAUUUUGUAGUUUUUACUGGUCCAAGUACUUACAACAAGAAAUGGCCAGUAUGGAAUUUCAACUGGAUGUUUUGGGAUUUUUGGCAAAUGCUCAACUCCUACAGUCUCCGCGCUUCCGGUGUUGUCCCAUCCCCAGCAAUCGCCCAACUCUAGUACACUACUCACGGGUAAAUAAUGAAGAAGAACUCUUGAAUUCUGUGAAUGUGAAUAUGAUGGUCCGUCGAGGAAAAUCACAUGUCAAAGGAAAAAUGAAAGGGACAGACACGGCUUGAUUAGUGGGUUAUGUUGAACUAGUUAUAUUAUGUUAAAUAGAGGCAAGGUGGAAAUCUGAAUUUGGUAUUUUAGUGUACUGCAGUAAGUUGGUUGAUUUUGGUUGAAAUGAAUGACUUGCUUCAUGUACCUUGUGUCUUUCAUUGAACAUUUGUUUAAUUAUAAUAACAAGAGUUUGGAGUUUGUUAAA
This is a long non-coding RNA of Olea europaea var. sylvestris, 954 nucleotides long. RefSeq lists it as uncharacterized. The transcript is spliced from 2 exons. NCBI's taxonomy places the organism in Eukaryota, Viridiplantae, Streptophyta, Magnoliopsida, Lamiales, Oleaceae. The record is from RefSeq and is a predicted model, not a curated record.